This 465-nucleotide ribosomal RNA is filed under the name uncultured bacterium. Its description in RNAcentral is "partial 16S ribosomal RNA". It matches the Rfam family "Bacterial small subunit ribosomal RNA", at positions 339 to 795 of the family's 1533-position model. The record is from RNAcentral.
CUACGGGACGCUGCAGUGAGGAAUUUUGCGCAAUGGGCGAAAGCCUGACGCAGCAACGCCGCGUGAGUGAUGAAGGCCUUCGGGUCGUAAAGCUCUGUCAAGUGGGAAGAACCUAUGUAAUGUUAAUAUCAUUAUAUACUGACGGUACCACUGAAGGAAGCACCGGCUAGCCCCGUGCCAGCAGCCGCGGUAAUACGGGGGGUGCAAGCGUUAUUCGGAAUCAUUGGGCGUAAAGGGCACGUAGGCGGCCUGGUAAGUCAGAUGUGAAAGCCCGGGGCUUAACCCCGGAAGUGCAUUUGAUACUGUCAGGCUUGAGUAUGGGAGAGGGAAGUGGAAUUCCUGGUGUAGAGGUGAAAUUCGUAGAUAUCAGGAGGAACACCGGUGGCGAAGGCGACUUCCUGGACCAAUACUGACGCUGAGGUGCGAAGGCGUGGGUAGCAAACAGGAUUAGAUACCCUGGUAGUC